This 353-nucleotide unclassified non-coding RNA is filed under the name soil metagenome. RNAcentral's name for it is "partial contains 5.8S ribosomal RNA, internal transcribed spacer 2, and large subunit ribosomal RNA". The stretch from base 1 to 120 matches the Rfam family "5.8S ribosomal RNA", at positions 35 to 154 of the family's 154-position model. The record is from RNAcentral.
GAUGAAGAACGCAGCGAAAUGCGAUAAGUAAUGUGAAUUGCAGAAUUCAGUGAAUCAUCGAAUCUUUGAACGCACAUUACGCCCGCCAGUAUUCUGGCGGGCAUGCCUGUUCGAGCGUCAUUACAACCCUCAGGCCCCCGGGCCUGGCGUUGGGGAUCGGCGGAAGCCCCCUGCGGGCACAACGCCGUCCCCCAAAUACAGUGGCGGUCCCGCCGCAGCUUCCAUUGCGUAGUAGCUAACACCUCGCAACUGGAGAGCGGCGCGGCCACGCCGUAAAACACCCAACUUCUGAAUGUUGACCUCGAAUCAGGUAGGAAUACCCGCUGAACUUAAGCAUAUCAAUAAGCGGAGGA